Non-coding RNA from Pan troglodytes (chimpanzee), 149 nucleotides. It matches the Rfam family "Metazoan signal recognition particle RNA". From Rfam's summary of the family: The signal recognition particle (SRP) is a universally conserved ribonucleoprotein. It is involved in the co-translational targeting of proteins to membranes. The record is from Rfam. Lineage: Eukaryota; Metazoa; Chordata; Mammalia; Primates; Hominidae.
GCCAGGCGUGGUGGCGGACGCCUGUAAUCCCAGCUUCUCAGGAGGCUGAGGCAGGAGAAUCGCUUGAACCCAGGAGGCGGAGGUUGCAGUGAGCCGAGAUCGUGCCACUGCACUCCAGCCUGGGUGACAGAGCGAGACUCUUGUCUCAU